UAAUGUCUGGGAAACUGCCUGAUGGAGGGGGAUAACUACUGGAAACGGUGGCUAAUACCGCAUAACGUCGCAAGACCAAAGUGGGGGACCUUCGGGCCUCACGCCAUCGGAUGUGCCCAGAUGGGAUUAGCUAGUAGGUGGGGUAAUGGCUCACCUAGGCGACGAUCCCUAGCUGGUCUGAGAGGAUGACCAGCCACACUGGAACUGAGACACGGUCCAGACUCCUACGGGAGGCAGCAGUGGGGAAUAUUGCACAAUGGGCGCAAGCCUGAUGCAGCCAUGCCGCGUGUGUGAAGAAGGCCUUCGGGUUGUAAAGCACUUUCAGCGAGGAGGAAGGCAUCAUACUUAAUACGUGUGGUGAUUGACGUUACUCGCAGAAGAAGCACCGGCUAACUCCGUGCCAGCAGCCGCGGUAAUACGGAGGGUGCAAGCGUUAAUCGGAAUUACUGGGCGUAAAGCGCACGCAGGCGGUUUGUUAAGUCAGAUGUGAAAUCCCCGCGCUUAACGUGGGAACUGCAUUUGAAACUGGCAAGCUAGAGUCUUGUAGAGGGGGGUAGAAUUCCAGGUGUAGCGGUGAAAUGCGUAGAGAUCUGGAGGAAUACCGGUGGCGAAGGCGGGCCCCUGGACAAAGACUGACGCUCAGGUGCGAAAGCGUGGGGAGCAAACAGGAUU
Molecule: ribosomal RNA, 672 nt
Filed under: Serratia sp. JA55-2
Lineage: Bacteria; Pseudomonadati; Pseudomonadota; Gammaproteobacteria; Enterobacterales; Yersiniaceae
Description: bacterial SSU rRNA
Rfam family: Bacterial small subunit ribosomal RNA
Source: RNAcentral